GAACUUGACGAUAAAAUAGUAAAAAUUGCUACUUAAAGUGCAUAACAUGAAUAAUAUUGCAAGUCAUCGUACAUUUUUAGUUCGACAAUAUUUAGGUCCAGUGGCGGAACUAUGGAUGGUCAGGAUACAUUAAAAUCUAUUUCCAUUUUAAAAUACUCUGGAGCGAAUCCUAUUGGGAUUAUUUCAGUCUUAAAUAUUCUUUACAAACUUUUAAUGUUGUUAAAAAAGUCUUUUGAAUUUA
Xenia sp. Carnegie-2017 is the source of this 241-nucleotide long non-coding RNA. RefSeq lists it as uncharacterized. The transcript has 3 exons. The record is from RefSeq and is a predicted model, not a curated record. Lineage: Eukaryota; Metazoa; Cnidaria; Anthozoa; Malacalcyonacea; Xeniidae.